RNAcentral lists this small nuclear RNA (191 nucleotides) under Echinops telfairi (small Madagascar hedgehog). RNAcentral describes it as "U2 spliceosomal RNA (ENSETEG00000020469.1)". It matches the Rfam family "U2 spliceosomal RNA". From Rfam's summary of the family: U2 is a small nuclear RNA (snRNA) component of the spliceosome (involved in pre-mRNA splicing). Complementary binding between U2 snRNA (in an area lying towards the 5' end but 3' to hairpin I) and the branchpoint sequence (BPS) of the intron results the bulging out of an unpaired adenosine, on the BPS, which initiates a nucleophilic attack at the intronic 5' splice site, thus starting the first of two transesterification reactions that mediate splicing. Lineage: Eukaryota; Metazoa; Chordata; Mammalia; Afrosoricida; Tenrecidae. The record is from RNAcentral.
AUCGCUUCUCGGCCUUUUGGCUAAGAUUAAGUGUAGUAUCUGUUCUUAUCAGUUUAAUAUCUGAGACAUCCUCUAUCCGAGGACAAUAUAUUAAAUGGAUUUUUGGAGCAGGGAGAUGGAAUAGGAGCUUGCUCCGUCCACUCCACGCAGCCACCUGGUAUUGCAGUGCUUCCAGAGAUGGUGCACCCCCU